GGAGAGGUGUCCGAGUUGGCCGAAGGAGCGCGAUUGGAAAUCGCGUAGGCGUUGUUAAGGCGUCUCGUGGGUUCGAAUCCCACCCUCUCCG
This 91-nucleotide transfer RNA is filed under the name Rubrobacter sp. RNAcentral's name for it is "tRNA-Ser". It matches the Rfam family "tRNA". From Rfam's summary of the family: Transfer RNA (tRNA) molecules are approximately 80 nucleotides in length. The record is from RNAcentral. Lineage: Bacteria; Bacillati; Actinomycetota; Rubrobacteria; Rubrobacterales; Rubrobacteraceae. RNAcentral also lists the same sequence under 1 other name.